RNAcentral lists this ribosomal RNA (250 nucleotides) under uncultured bacterium. RNAcentral's name for it is "partial small subunit ribosomal RNA". It matches the Rfam family "Bacterial small subunit ribosomal RNA", at positions 26 to 278 of the family's 1533-position model. The record is from RNAcentral.
AGGACGAACGCUGGCGGCGUGCUUAACACAUGCAAGUCGAACGGAAAGGCCCUUCGGGGUACUCGAGUGGCGAACGGGUGAGUAACACGUGGGUGAUCUGCCCUGCACUUUGGGAUAAGCCUGGGAAACUGGGUCUAAUACCGAAUAUGAUCAUGCACCUCAUGGUGUGUGGUGGUAAAGCUUUUGCGGUGUGGGACUGGGCCCGCGGCCUAUCAGCUUGGUUGGUGGGUAAUGGCCUACCAAGGCGACG